CGCGCCACCGCAAAAAUCUACUAUUUCCUUUUCAACUCUGUCCCCUCUUCUUAUCUUUUCUUCUUUUCUCUCUAACCUCCUUUUACUUUCCUUCUUCUGUCUUUUCCAGCUUUUAUUUUCCUUAAGAUCUCGGAAACCUAAAAAGAGGAAUCUAGGGGUUUAUGAGUAAGAAGAAGAGGUGGUUCUGAUGAUAAGAUCGUCUUCUUCUUCUUCGCUAUGGGAGGAGUAACUUCGUCAAUCGCCGCUAAAUUCGCUUUCUUCCCGCCAACCCCACCUUCUUACGCUUUCAUUACCGACGUUAGCUCCUCCUCCUCCGUUGACCGACUGUACAUCACCGAUGUUCCUCGCCGCGACGACGUUGACGUCCUCAAGCUACGCACUCGUCGUGGCAACGAGAUCGUUGCUAUAUACGUCAAACACCCCAAAGCUAACGCUACGCUUCUCUAUUCCCAUGGCAACGCAGCUGAUUUGGGUCAGAUGUUUGAGCUUUUCCUCGAGCUUAGCACCCGCCUCCGUCUUAAUCUCAUGGGGUACACCCUUUCUUUCAGCAUGACUUUAUGGGUUUCCACUUUUGUCUUAAAAAUGCUUGUGUCUUUCUUUGGUUUUGGUAAUUUGAUGUUAACACUGUAAUAAUGACAAAUCUAUCCGUCCUUUGGUUUCAGGUAUGAUUACUCUGGCUAUGGUCAGUCUACUGGAAAGGUAGUUUCCUAAGCUUCCAAGAUCUUUUUUUUUUUUCAUUUCGAAAUAACAGAUAUGAAAUUUUAUAGAUUCCUAAUGGAUUUUUAAUUUUGUUAAUUGAAAUCAGGCAAGCGAAUGUAACACAUAUGCUGAUAUAGAUGCAUCGUAUAACUGCCUGAAAGAACAAUAUGGUGUAAAAGACGAUCAACUGAUAUUAUAUGGUCAGUCUGUUGGUAGUGGACCCACGAUUGAUUUGGCUUCGCGGACGCCUAAUUUAAGAGGAGUGGUUUUGCAUAGCCCUAUUCUCUCUGGGAUGAGGGUUCUGUACCCGGUUAAACGAACUUAUUGGUUUGACAUUUACAAGGUAAGUUAGUAGACAGACACAUAUUUAGCCAUCUUUGUUUCUGGUUUCCAUGUAUUAAAUGCUUAAUACAUGAACAAUUUCUCGUUUCAGAAUAUCGACAAGAUCGGUUCUGUUACCUGUCCUGUCUUAGUCAUCCAUGUGAGUUAUGCUCAUUUCUGAUUAUUGUCUUUUUUUACUUUUCUCUCUCUUUGUUUACGGUCAUCCACAGUUACUUGCGAUGAUGUAAAACUUGUAGGUUAUAUGACCAUUUUGACAAGAAAAUGUUUGUUAAACUCUUAUUGUUUGGUAUUUUAGGGAACUGCGGAUGAAGUAGUUGAUUGGUCUCAUGGGAAACAACUGUGGGAACUUUCCAAAGAGAAGUAUGAACCUCUAUGGGUCUCUGGAGGAGGACACUGCAACCUUGAACUCUAUCCAGAGUUCAUCAAACAUCUGAAGAAGUUUGUAAUAUUUAUUUCUAAACCCAAGGGACCAAGACACGGUCCAAACAACACGAAUCCAACAGAUGCAACCAAGGACCAGAGCAAGCCUUCAGAAAAAAACAAAAUAACCAAAGUAAAAUGAUAAUAAUAAAAAAAGAAAUACAAAACACCGGCCUUUCUUCACAACGGCGGUCAUUUAGAGAGAGGGAAGCACGAUUAUUUAUUUUUCUAACGAGAAACACUUGGCGACGGUUGCUCUCUUCGUACACGCGCGGCUUCUAUCUCUCACGCGCCACCGCAAAAAUCUACUAUUUCCUUUUCAACUCUGUCCCCUCUUCUUAUCUUUUCUUCUUUUCUCUCUAACCUCCUUUUACUUUCCUUCUUCUGUCUUUUCCAGCUUUUAUUUUCCUUAAGAUCUCGGAAACCUAAAAAGAGGAAUCUAGGGGUUUAUGAGUAAGAAGAAGAGGUGGUUCUGAUGAUAAGAUCGUCUUCUUCUUCUUCGCUAUGGGAGGAGUAACUUCGUCAAUCGCCGCUAAAUUCGCUUUCUUCCCGCCAACCCCACCUUCUUACGCUUUCAUUACCGACGUUAGCUCCUCCUCCUCCGUUGACCGACUGUACAUCACCGAUGUUCCUCGCCGCGACGACGUUGACGUCCUCAAGCUACGCACUCGUCGUGGCAACGAGAUCGUUGCUAUAUACGUCAAACACCCCA
RNAcentral lists this long non-coding RNA (2173 nucleotides) under Brassica napus (rape). Its description in RNAcentral is "long non-coding RNA (BNAP_LNC000996)". Lineage: Eukaryota; Viridiplantae; Streptophyta; Magnoliopsida; Brassicales; Brassicaceae. The record is from RNAcentral.